RNAcentral lists this ribosomal RNA (254 nucleotides) under uncultured bacterium. RNAcentral's name for it is "partial 16S ribosomal RNA". It matches the Rfam family "Bacterial small subunit ribosomal RNA", at positions 524 to 776 of the family's 1533-position model. The record is from RNAcentral.
UACGGAGGGGGCUAGCGUUGUUCGGAAUUACUGGGCGUAAAGGGCGCGCAGGCGGCUGCUCAAGUCAGGCGUGAAAGGCCUGGGCUCAACCCGGGAAUUGCGCUUGAGACUGGGCUGGCUUGAGUGCGGGAGAGGAUGGUGGAAUUCCCAGUGUAGAGGUGAAAUUCGUAGAGAUUGGGAAGAACACCGGUGGCGAAGGCGGCCAUCUGGACCGCAACUGACGAUGAGGCGCGAAAGAGUGGGGAGCAAACAGG